GCGUGAGGAAAAAUAAAGGUAAUGCAUGCUGGGCUGAAUAUCUAGGUUCUGGGUUGAUAGGUGCAGCAAACCACCAUGGCACACAUUUACCUAUGUAACAAACCUGCACAUCCUGCACAUGUAUCCCAGAAAUUAAAAUAAAA
Molecule: long non-coding RNA, 143 nt
Organism: Sapajus apella (tufted capuchin)
Lineage: Eukaryota; Metazoa; Chordata; Mammalia; Primates; Cebidae
Exons: 3
Source: RefSeq, a predicted model, not a curated record